RNAcentral lists this transfer RNA (77 nucleotides) under Myxococcales bacterium. RNAcentral describes it as "tRNA-Ile". It matches the Rfam family "tRNA". From Rfam's summary of the family: Transfer RNA (tRNA) molecules are approximately 80 nucleotides in length. Their secondary structure includes four short double-helical elements and three loops (D, anti-codon, and T loops). Lineage: Bacteria; Pseudomonadati; Myxococcota; Myxococcia; Myxococcales. The record is from RNAcentral.
GGGCCUAUAGCUCAAUCGGUUAGAGUCCCCCGCUCAUAACGGGGUUGUUCCUGGUUCGAGUCCAGGUGGGCCCACCA